UACGUAGGGUGCAAGCGUUAAUCGGAAUUACUGGGCGUAAAGCGUGCGCAGGCGGUUUUGUAAGUCUGUCGUGAAAGCCCCGGGCUCAACCUGGGAAUUGCGAUGGAGACUGCAAGGCUAGAAUCUGGCAGAGGGGGGUAGAAUUCCACGUGUAGCAGUGAAAUGCGUAGAGAUGUGGAGGAACACCGAUGGCGAAGGCAGCCCCCUGGGUCAAGAUUGACGCUCAUGCACGAAAGCGUGGGGAUCAAACAGG
RNAcentral lists this ribosomal RNA (253 nucleotides) under uncultured bacterium. RNAcentral describes it as "partial 16S ribosomal RNA". It matches the Rfam family "Bacterial small subunit ribosomal RNA", at positions 524 to 776 of the family's 1533-position model. The record is from RNAcentral.